AUGCAGUAGCUGCAAGUCUUCGGAAAGUCAGCAUGGAUAACAGACUGAUGGAACUCUUUCCUGCCAAUAAGCAAAGUGUUGAACACUUCACAAAGUAUUUUACUGAGGCAGGCUUGAAAGAGCUUUCAGAAUAUGUUCGGAAUCAGCAAACCAUUGGAGCUCGUAAGGAGCUCCAGAAAGAACUUCAAGAACAGAUGUCCCGUGGUGAUCCAUUUAAGGAUAUAAUUUUAUAUGUCAAGGAGGAGAUGAAAAAAAACAACAUCCCAGAACCAGUUGUCAUCGGAAUAGUCUGGUCAAGUGUAAUGAGCACUGUGGAAUGGAACAAAAAAGAGGAGCUUGUAGCAGAGCAAGCCAUCAAGCACUUGAAGCAAUACAGCCCUCUACUUGCUGCCUUUACUACUCAAGGUCAGUCUGAGCUGACUCUGUUACUGAAGAUUCAGGAGUAUUGCUAUGACAACAUUCAUUUCAUGAAAGCCUUCCAGAAAAUAGUGGUGCUUUUUUAUAAAGGUAAUUUAGAUUUUGAAUUUUGUAAAUAACACUUAAUAAAAACCCUUGUAAACACAAAAUUAUCCAAAUGAUGAG
Molecule: small RNA, 582 nt
Filed under: Pan troglodytes (chimpanzee)
Lineage: Eukaryota; Metazoa; Chordata; Mammalia; Primates; Hominidae
Description: retained intron
Source: RNAcentral